GGAGGCAUAGCUCAGUGGUAGAGCACUUGCCUAGCAUGCACAAGGCCCUAGGCUCAAUCCCUGGCACCACCA
RNAcentral lists this transfer RNA (72 nucleotides) under Fukomys damarensis (Damara mole-rat). It matches the Rfam family "tRNA". From Rfam's summary of the family: Transfer RNA (tRNA) molecules are approximately 80 nucleotides in length. The record is from Rfam by way of RNAcentral. Lineage: Eukaryota; Metazoa; Chordata; Mammalia; Rodentia; Bathyergidae.